This 1179-nucleotide long non-coding RNA is filed under the name Capra hircus (goat). RNAcentral's name for it is "lncRNA (ENSCHIG00010026248.1)". Lineage: Eukaryota; Metazoa; Chordata; Mammalia; Artiodactyla; Bovidae. The record is from RNAcentral.
GCGCUUGGGUCCCUGUGUGACCGUAGAGGUUGCACACCCAUGAGGCCUGGUCUGCUACUCACACAAAGACCCGAGUAUUAACCGUCUCCUGACUACUUCUACUUGGAUGUCCCACAGGGCACAUAUCCAACUCAACACGUGCAAACUCAACUCAUAUCUACGUCUCCGUCACUCCAGAAGUCCUCCUCCUCUCUUGUUUUGGGGAGCAGCAAAUGGCAUUUCCAAGUCAGAAGUCGAGUGUCGUUCUUACUGCCUUGUUUUUCUCAGCCUUGGCAGCCCAGUUUUCACGGGAGGUUUGGUCUUCUCCUCCCCAUCUUCACUACAUCUGCCUUGGUUUCAGACACUCCUGGCUCUCCUGUAGAUAAUAGCCACCCUCAUCUUCUCAGCUAGUCUCCUUGCCUCCAAGUGCGUGUCUUUGUAAAUCUGUUGUCCAUACCAGGAUAAGAAAGAUAAUUCUGUAACCUAAAUUUGAAACUGUAACUUUCUAGCCUAUGAGCCAUCAAUGGUUUUCUGUUGCCUUCAACUUAAAAUUCAGCUUGACAAAAUGAGAGUCCUUGUGAUCUAGCCCCACCGCACCUAUGGCUGAGACAGGCUGGACCACGGGAAAUUCCCUAACCCAUCCAGCAGAGAGCUACACCGGCACAUGAAAUUGUUUCAUCCAGAAUGCCAGUUUUAGUAGCCUAGAGUAAGCCUUACUCUCUCAAUCCUCUUUUCUAAUUCUUCAUGUUCUAAAAGCAUACCAACGCCAGGGAAUCUCUGUCUAGAGGUGGUAGUUGGCUAUUUCUGAUUGCUCUCCUUAAAUAGCUACUGUUGCUGUUGAACAGGGAUGUGCUGGCUAUUGUUCAUUUUGGUUCCUGCCCAUGGUUAAACUCAAUUAUGAGGAGAGGCUAAGUAAGGUUUCUGUAACAAGUGGCUUUCAAUAUCAGUUAUUGUUACAACUGUCAAUGACACCAUCUUUCCUUUGGAACAAGAAGUAAUUUCCAUGCACUGGUUCUAUUAUCCAACAAUUCCAUGCCUAAAUAUUUAUUCAAGAAAAACAGAAAUGCUUAUGCUCAAAAGGACAGGGAUUUUCAUACAAUAGAAUACCACCCAGCAAUAAAAAGGAUGUGCUAAUGAUACAUGCAGAACCAAGGAUAAAUCUCAGUGAAUUGUGUUAAAUGAGAAAAACUAGACACAAAA